This 453-nucleotide long non-coding RNA is filed under the name Dromaius novaehollandiae (emu). RNAcentral's name for it is "lncRNA (ENSDNVG00000011788.1)". The record is from RNAcentral. Lineage: Eukaryota; Metazoa; Chordata; Aves; Casuariiformes; Dromaiidae.
CUGUGUGUAAUACUGGUGUUYGAGACGUGACAGAUCCACAGCCAUAUUUUAAAAAAAGAGGUUGGCAUAUUCAUGAGAAUGCAAAGUUACAAAAAAUAUUUGAAGACUGGAGAAAAUGCAGAAAAUGGCCACAGCGAGUCAGUUGCUGCCCCAGGAGACACAAGCACUGGAAGCUGGCUCUGCCAGGUGUAGCCACUACUUGGAUCGAACUCCCCAUCUGGGUGGGAGUAGAAGCAUAAGCACUGCCCAGGAAGGAAUUUUGCAGGAGACAGGAUCCAAAUGUAUCUCAUCUUCAGUAUCUGAAGCUGGACGAGUCAAGGAGUACCCACAUUUAAUCAAAGAGGUAGCUACAAUUCCUGCCAAACUUUCCUGUAUUUCUCCUCACAAUUUUACUGGCUUAUAGCCAUUCUUCAUUGGGAGCUUACUUCCAACUUAUUUUCUGUGCAACACAUC